RNAcentral lists this ribosomal RNA (201 nucleotides) under uncultured bacterium. RNAcentral's name for it is "partial 16S ribosomal RNA". It matches the Rfam family "Bacterial small subunit ribosomal RNA", at positions 328 to 539 of the family's 1533-position model. The record is from RNAcentral.
ACGCUCGACACCUACUGGAGGCAGCAGUGGGGAAUAUUGCACAAUGGGGGAAACCCUGAUGCAGCGACGCCGCGUGGAGGAAGAAGGUCUUCGGAUUGUAAACUCCUGUUGUUGGGGAAAAAGAGGAUGGUACCCAACAAGGAAGUGACGGCUAACUACGUGCCAGCAGCCGGUGGUAAUCUGAGGCGGGCUGGACAAGGC